RNAcentral lists this ribosomal RNA (90 nucleotides) under Periophthalmus magnuspinnatus. The record is from RNAcentral. Lineage: Eukaryota; Metazoa; Chordata; Actinopteri; Gobiiformes; Gobiidae.
GAAGAUGGCCAUAUCUGAUGUCAGAGGCUAAGCAGGGUUGGACCUGGUUAGUAUUGGGGUGGGAGACCGCUGGGAAUAGUAGGUGCCACA